Molecule: ribosomal RNA, 523 nt
Filed under: uncultured Gammaproteobacteria bacterium
Lineage: Bacteria; Pseudomonadati; Pseudomonadota; Gammaproteobacteria
Description: bacterial SSU rRNA
Rfam family: Bacterial small subunit ribosomal RNA
Source: RNAcentral
GAGUUUGAUCAUGGCUCAGAUUGAACGCUGGCGGCAGGCCUAACACAUGCAAGUCGAGCGGAAACGAUGGGAGCUUGCUCCCAGGCGUCGAGCGGCGGACGGGUGAGUAAUGCAUAGGAAUUUGCCCAGUAGUGGGGGAUAGCCCGGGGAAACCCGGAUUAAUACCGCAUACGCCCUACGGGGGAAAGCAGGGGAUCUUCGGACCUUGCGCUAUUGGAUGAGCCUAUGUCGGAUUAGCUAGUUGGUGGGGUAAAGGCCUACCAAGGCGACGAUCCGUAGCUGGUCUGAGAGGAUGAUCAGCCACAUCGGGACUGAGACACGGCCCGAACUCCUACGGGAGGCAGCAGUGGGGAAUAUUGGACAAUGGGGGCAACCCUGAUCCAGCCAUGCCGCGUGUGUGAAGAAGGCUUUCGGGUUGUAAAGCACUUUCAGUGAGGAGGAAAACCUUACGAUUAAUACUCGUGAGGCUUGACGUUACUCACAGAAGAAGCACCGGCUAACUCCGUGCCAGCAGCCGCGGUAA